Long non-coding RNA from Papaver somniferum (opium poppy), 201 nucleotides. RefSeq lists it as uncharacterized. The record is from RefSeq and is a predicted model, not a curated record. Lineage: Eukaryota; Viridiplantae; Streptophyta; Magnoliopsida; Ranunculales; Papaveraceae. The transcript has 3 exons.
UGCAAGAUAACUGAGACGAAUUGUCCGUCUGCAGACUUGGUUGAGGCAUUUAUCAAGAUAAUAGAGGAGAAGGCUGACACGAUUGAUAAGGUAGAUCAUUUGGAAAUAUGGAUGCCCUCCACCGCCAGCGAGCAAUCUGUGAACUACUUGGCUCAAGCUUGAUGGCGAGGCACAUGCUGGACAAAUUACGCGUCAUUAAAG